This 650-nucleotide ribosomal RNA is filed under the name Pseudomonas sp. AD5. RNAcentral describes it as "bacterial SSU rRNA". It matches the Rfam family "Bacterial small subunit ribosomal RNA", at positions 757 to 1404 of the family's 1533-position model. The record is from RNAcentral. Lineage: Bacteria; Pseudomonadati; Pseudomonadota; Gammaproteobacteria; Pseudomonadales; Pseudomonadaceae.
AGUCGUGGGGAGCAAACAGGAUUAGAUACCCUGGUAGUUCACGCCGUAAAUAUAUGUCAAAUAGCCGUUGGGAACACUUGAAUUUUUAGUGGCUCAGCUAAAGCAUUAAGUUGGACGCCUGGGGAGUAAGGCCGCAAGGUUAAAACUCAAAUGAAUUGACGGGGGCCCGCACAAACGGUGGAGCAUGUGGUUUAAUUUGAAGCAAAGAGAAGAACCCUCCCAGGCCUUGACAUCCAAUGAACUUUCCAAAGAAGGAUUGGUGCCUUUGGGAACAAUUAAACAGGUGGCGGAAUGCUGUUGUUAACCCGUUUCCCGAGAUGUUGGGUUUAGUCCCGUAAAGAGCCCAACCCUUGUCCUUAGUUACCAGCACGUAAUGGUGGGCCCUUUAAGGAAAUAUCCCGCGACAAACCCGAGGAAAGGGGGGAAGACGGCAAGUCAUCCAGGGCCUUACGGCCUGGGCUACACACGUGGUACAAUGGUCGGUACAAAGGGUUGCCAAACCUCGAGGGGGAGCUAAUCCCAGAAAACCGAUUGUAGUCCGGAUCGCAGUUUUCAACUCGAUUGUGUGAAGUUGGAAUCGCUAGUAAUGGGGAAUCAGAAUGUCGCGGUGAACCCGUUCCCGGGCCUUUUACACACCGCCCGCCCCCCCA